This 253-nucleotide ribosomal RNA is filed under the name uncultured bacterium. RNAcentral's name for it is "partial 16S ribosomal RNA". It matches the Rfam family "Bacterial small subunit ribosomal RNA", at positions 524 to 776 of the family's 1533-position model. The record is from RNAcentral.
UACGUAGGUGGCGAGCGUUGUCCGGAUUUACUGGGCGUAAAGAGCGCGCAGGCGGUCGUUCAAGUCGCGUGUGAAAGCCCCCGGCUCAACUGGGGAGGGUCACGCGAUACUGAUCGACUCGAAGGCAGGAGAGGGAAGUGGAAUUCCUGGUGUAGCGGUGAAAUGCGCAGAUAUCAGGAGGAACACCGGUGGCUAAGGCGGUUCUCUGGGCCUUACCUGACGCUGAGGAGCGAAAGCAUGGGGAGCAAACAGG